GGAGUGUCCUUGAGUAGGUUAGUAGUGUUCAGUAUGGUGGAGAGAGAGGAGUGUCCUUGAGUAGGUUAGUAGUGUUCAGUAUGGUGGAGAGAGGAGUGUCCUUGAGGAGGUUAGUAGUGUUCAGUAUGGUGGAGAGAGGAGUGUCCUUGAGGAGGUUAGUAGUGUUCAGUAUGGUGGAGAGAGGAGUGUCCUUGAGUAGGUUAGUAGUGCUCAGUAUGGUGGAGAGAGGAGUGUCCUUGAGUAGGUUAGUAGUGUUCAGUAUGGUGGAGAGAGGAGUGUCCUUGAGGAGGUUAGUAGUGUUCAGUAUGGUGGAGAGAGAGGAGUGUCCUUGAGGAGGUUAGUAGUGUUCAG
Long non-coding RNA from Oncorhynchus tshawytscha (Chinook salmon), 351 nucleotides. The record is from Ensembl. NCBI's taxonomy places the organism in Eukaryota, Metazoa, Chordata, Actinopteri, Salmoniformes, Salmonidae.